AUUUGUGUUUUUGUGGUUGAAUAAACAAGGAAAAAAAAAUAAAAAAAUCUGUUCUUAUCAGUUUAAUAUCUGAUAUGUCCUCUAUAUGGGGACUACAUAUUAAAUGGAUUUUUAGCCUCGGGAGCUGAAACAGGGGCUUGCUCCGUUCACUCCACGCAUCGACCCGGUAUUGCAGCGCCGCCGGGAACGGUGCACCCCUC
Sparus aurata (gilthead seabream) is the source of this 200-nucleotide small nuclear RNA. Its record names the gene U2. It matches the Rfam family "U2 spliceosomal RNA". From Rfam's summary of the family: U2 is a small nuclear RNA (snRNA) component of the spliceosome (involved in pre-mRNA splicing). The record is from Ensembl. NCBI's taxonomy places the organism in Eukaryota, Metazoa, Chordata, Actinopteri, Spariformes, Sparidae.